GAUGAAGAACGCAGCGAAAUGCGAUAAGUAGUGUGAAUUGCAGAAUUCAGUGAAUCAUCGAAUCUUUGAACGCACAUUGCGCCCCUUGGUACUCCAUGGGGCAUGCCUGUUCGAGCGUCAUUUACACCCUCAAGCUCAGCUUGGUGUUGGGCGUCUGUCCCGCUUCGUGCGCGGACUCGCCUCAAAUGCAUUGGCAGCGGUCUUGCCAGCUUCUCGCGCAGCACAUUGCGCUUCUAGAGGCUUUGGCGGAUCGGCGUCCAUCAAGUACACCCACAGUUUGACCUCGGAUCAGGUAGGGAUACCCGCUGAACUUAAGCAUAUCAAUAAGCGGAGGG
RNAcentral lists this unclassified non-coding RNA (335 nucleotides) under soil metagenome. RNAcentral's name for it is "partial contains 5.8S ribosomal RNA, internal transcribed spacer 2, and large subunit ribosomal RNA". The stretch from base 1 to 120 matches the Rfam family "5.8S ribosomal RNA", at positions 35 to 154 of the family's 154-position model. The record is from RNAcentral.